CGGUUAAGUUAAUAAGGGCGCACGGUGGAUGCCUUGGCACUAGGAGCCGAUGAAGGACGGGACUAACACCGAUAUGCUUCGGGGAGCUGUAAGUAAGCUUUGAUCCGGAGAUUUCCGAAUGGGGAAACCCACCUUCCGUAAUGGGAAGGUAUCCUUAUCUGAAUUCAUAGGAUAAGGAAGGCACACCCAGGGAACUGAAACAUCUAAGUACCUGGAGGAAGAGAAAGAAAAAUCGAUUCCCUAAGUAGCGGCGAGCGAAACGGGAACAGCCCAAACCAAGAGGCUUGCCUCUUGGGGUUGUAGGACACUCUAUA
RNAcentral lists this ribosomal RNA (314 nucleotides) under Pallidibacillus pasinlerensis. RNAcentral describes it as "partial 23S ribosomal RNA". It matches the Rfam family "Bacterial large subunit ribosomal RNA", at positions 1 to 314 of the family's 2925-position model. Lineage: Bacteria; Bacillati; Bacillota; Bacilli; Caryophanales; Bacillaceae. The record is from RNAcentral.